Molecule: unclassified non-coding RNA, 236 nt
Filed under: plant metagenome
Description: partial contains small subunit ribosomal RNA, internal transcribed spacer 1, and 5.8S ribosomal RNA
Source: RNAcentral
UUUCCGUAGGUGAACCUGCGGAAGGAUCAUUAGUGAAUAUUAGGGCGUCUACUUCGGUAGGGCCUGACCUCCACUUUCUAACUCUGUGCACUUAUUUGGCGGAAAAGGGAAUUAGUAAUCUGUCUAAUGACGAUUGCGACUUCUUACUUUCUGCGGCUUACUUUAAACACUAGUCAAAGUAUGUAACGAAAUAUCGAAACAAAUAAGAACUUUCAACAACGGAUCUCUUGGCUCUC